This 490-nucleotide ribosomal RNA is filed under the name uncultured bacterium. Its description in RNAcentral is "partial 16S ribosomal RNA". It matches the Rfam family "Bacterial small subunit ribosomal RNA", at positions 30 to 507 of the family's 1533-position model. The record is from RNAcentral.
AUUGAACGCUGGCGGCAGGCCUAACACAUGCAAGUCGAACGGUAACAGGAAGCAGCUUGCUGCUUUGCUGACGCGUGGCGGACGGGUGAGUAAUGUCUGGGAAACUGCCUGAUGGCGGGGGAUAACUACUGGAAACGGUAGCUAAUACCGCAUAACGUCGCAAGACCAAAGAGGGGGACCUUCUGGCCUCUUGCCAUCUGAUGUGCCCAGAUGGGAUUAGCUAGUAGGUGGGGUAACGGCUCACCUAGGCGACGAUCCCUAGCUGGUCUGAGAGGAUGACCAGCCACACUGGAACUGAGACACGGUCCAGACUCCUACGGGAGGCAGCAGUGGGGAAUAUUGCACAAUGGGCGCAAGCCUGAUGCAGCCAUGCCGCGUGUAUGAAGAAGGCCUUCGGGUUGUAAAGUACUUUCAGCGGGGAGGAAGGGAGUAAGGUUAAUACCUUUGCUCAUUGACGUUACCCGCAGAAGAAGCACCGGCUAACUCCGUG